Molecule: long non-coding RNA, 302 nt
Organism: Leopardus geoffroyi (Geoffroy's cat)
Lineage: Eukaryota; Metazoa; Chordata; Mammalia; Carnivora; Felidae
Exons: 3
Source: RefSeq, a predicted model, not a curated record
AUCCUAUCAAACAGCAUCACAUGCUACAGAGAAACCUGUUCAUGAAAAGAAGAGUCAGUCAACGUGGCAAAUCUCACUGUUGUCUUAUUUUAAGAAAUUGCCACAGCCGCCCCAGCCUUCAGCGACCAUUGCCCCGACCAGUCAGCAGCCAUCAACAUUGAGGCGAGACCCUCCACCAGCAAAAAGACUGUAACUCGCUAAAAGCUCAGAUGACGGUUAGCAUUUUUUAGCAAUAACAUAUUUUUUAACUAAGGUAUGUACAUUGGUUUUUUUAGACACAAUGCUAUUGCAAACUUAACAGA